Molecule: ribosomal RNA, 253 nt
Filed under: uncultured bacterium
Lineage: Bacteria
Description: partial 16S ribosomal RNA
Rfam family: Bacterial small subunit ribosomal RNA
Source: RNAcentral
GACGGAGGGUGCAAGCGUUGUUCGGAUUGACUGGGCGUAAAGGGCGUGUAGGCGGUUGGUUAAGUCGGUUGUGAAAUCCCGGGGCUCAGCUCCGGAAGUGCAUCCGAAACUGGCCAGCUAGAGCGCGGUAGAGGAGGGUGGAAUUCCUGGUGUAGCGGUGAAAUGCGUAGAUAUCAGGAGGAACACCGGUGGCGAAGGCGGCCCUCUGGACCGUUGCUGACGCUGAGACGCGAAAGCGUGGGGAGCAAACAGG